CAUAUGUAUGUGCGUGUGUGCGUUUAUUGUGCACCACAAUACACAAUAUACUAAUACUAAUACAUCAACAUCACACAUACAUGGCAACAUUUAAGCGCCUACAAGGAUGCUCGAGCAGAAGCUAAAACAAAUCACUAUCAGCCAAGAAAGCAACCAUAGAAAAUAAUGGAUGUAUUCAGCUAGUUCAACUAAAUCUUUAUACAUAUACACAAACCAAUUGGAAAGCGACCACUUUUGACUCAAUUAAUAGAGAGAAAAAGGCCGUCUUGCCACCGCAAUAAGAAGGAACCGCAACAAUAGCAAAGAGCUACUAAGCACUGCCAUCUAAAAAAAAACUGCAUCAAACUGCGAUUGAAUUCAGAAAAUAUAAUUGCAGCCAAGCAAGAAGAACAAGUAACAAUUAUAUUGCGCAAUAUAUAAAAAAUAUACAU
This is a long non-coding RNA of Drosophila grimshawi, 431 nucleotides long. RefSeq lists it as uncharacterized. The transcript is spliced from 4 exons. Lineage: Eukaryota; Metazoa; Arthropoda; Insecta; Diptera; Drosophilidae. The record is from RefSeq and is a predicted model, not a curated record.